RNAcentral lists this transfer RNA (73 nucleotides) under Anaerolineae bacterium. RNAcentral describes it as "tRNA-Arg". It matches the Rfam family "tRNA". Rfam says of the family: Transfer RNA (tRNA) molecules are approximately 80 nucleotides in length. Lineage: Bacteria; Bacillati; Chloroflexota; Anaerolineae. The record is from RNAcentral.
GCCCCCGUAGCUCAGAGGAUAGAGCGCCGGUUUCCUAAACCGGGCGUCGGCGGUUCGAAUCCGUCCGGGGGUA